This 443-nucleotide ribosomal RNA is filed under the name uncultured bacterium. RNAcentral's name for it is "bacterial SSU rRNA". It matches the Rfam family "Bacterial small subunit ribosomal RNA", at positions 1 to 426 of the family's 1533-position model. The record is from RNAcentral.
GANUAGCCUGGUACUCGCGAAUGCUCUAGAUUAGACGUUUGAUCAUGGCUCAGACUGAACGCUGGCGGCAGGCCUAACACAUGCAAGUCGAACGGUAACAGGAAGCAGCUUGCUGCUUUGCUGACGAGUGGCGGACGGGUGAGUAAUGUCUGGGAAACUGCCUGAUGGAGGGGGAUAACUACUGGAAACGGUAGCUAAUACCGCAUAACGUCGCAAGACCAAAGAGGGGGACCUUCGGGCCUCUUGCCAUCGGAUGUGCCCAGAUGGGAUUAGCUAGUAGGUGGGGUAACGGCUCACCUAGGCGACGAUCCCUAGCUGGUCUGAGAGGAUGACCAGCCACACUGGAACUGAGACACGGUCCAGACUCCUACGGGAGGCAGCAGUGGGGAAUAUUGCACAAUGGGCGCAAGCCUGAUGCCUGCCGGUGUUUAGCUUCGGGUUGU